Molecule: ribosomal RNA, 731 nt
Filed under: uncultured bacterium
Lineage: Bacteria
Description: bacterial SSU rRNA
Rfam family: Bacterial small subunit ribosomal RNA
Source: RNAcentral
GAGUUUGAACCUGGCUCAGGAUGAACGCUGGCGGCGUGCUUAACACAUGCAAGUCGAACGAAGCAGAAGGAUGCUUGCAUCCUUUUGACUGAGUGGCGGACGGGUGAGUAACACGUAGAGAACCUACCUUACACAGGGGGACAACGGCUGGAAACGGCUGCUAAUACCGCAUAAGCACCCAGUUUCGCAUGAAACAGAGUGAAAAGAGUAAAUCGGUGUAAGAUGGCUCUGCGUCUGAUUAGCUAGUUGGUGGGGUAAAGGCUCACCAAGGCGACGAUCAGUAGCCGGCCUGAGAGGGCGACCGGCCACAUUGGGACUGAGACACGGCCCAGACUCCUACGGGAGGCAGCAGUGGGGAAUCUUGCACAAUGGGGGAAACCCUGAUGCAGCGACGCCGCGUGAGCGAAGAAGUAUUUCGGUAUGUAAAGCUCUAUCAGCAGGGAAUAAAAAAGAAGGUACCUGACGAAGAAGCCCCGGCUAACUACGUGCCAGCAGCCGCGGUAAUACGUAGGGGGCAAGCGUUAUCCGGAUUUACUGGGUGUAAAGGGAGCGUAGACGGUGCGUUAAGUCAGAAGUGAAAGCCCAUUGCUCAACGAUGGAGCUGCUUUUGAAACUAACGAACUAGAGUACAGGAGAGGUAAGUGGAAUUCCUAGCGUAGCGGUGAAAUGCGUAGAGAUUAGGAGGAACACCAGUGGCGAAGGCGGCUUACUGGACUGAAACUGACGUUGAG